Non-coding RNA from Glycine max (soybean), 120 nucleotides. NCBI's taxonomy places the organism in Eukaryota, Viridiplantae, Streptophyta, Magnoliopsida, Fabales, Fabaceae. The record is from Rfam.
UUCUUAUUGAAUGAUGACUGUCACGUGUCAUGUUCUGAUUGGAUGUCAAUUCCAUGAAAGAUGAAAUGCAUUGUUGUUUUCAUUGAUCAACCAGAACAUGACAUGUGGUAGUCAUCAUCC